RNAcentral lists this ribosomal RNA (253 nucleotides) under uncultured bacterium. Its description in RNAcentral is "partial 16S ribosomal RNA". It matches the Rfam family "Bacterial small subunit ribosomal RNA", at positions 524 to 776 of the family's 1533-position model. The record is from RNAcentral.
UACGUAGGGGGCAAGCGUUGUCCGGAAUUAUUGGGCGUAAAGAGCGCGUAGGCGGUCCGAUAAGUCGGCUGUGAAAGUCAGGGGCUCAACCCCUGAAUGCCGGCCGAUACUGUCGGGCUAGAGUCCGGAAGAGGCGAGUGGAAUUCCCGGUGUAGCGGUGAAAUGCGCAGAUAUCGGGAGGAACACCAAUGGCGAAGGCGGCCUUCUGGACCAAUACUGACGCUCAUGCACGAAAGCGUGGGGAGCAAACAGG